UGUGAUGUGGCUCAGUUGGUAGAGUGCUUGCCUAGCAUGCAUACAUCCCUGGGUUCCAUGCCCAGCACCACAU
RNAcentral lists this transfer RNA (73 nucleotides) under Rattus norvegicus (Norway rat). It matches the Rfam family "tRNA". From Rfam's summary of the family: Transfer RNA (tRNA) molecules are approximately 80 nucleotides in length. Their secondary structure includes four short double-helical elements and three loops (D, anti-codon, and T loops). Further hydrogen bonds mediate the characteristic L-shaped molecular structure. tRNAs have two regions of fundamental functional importance: the anti-codon, which is responsible for specific mRNA codon recognition, and the 3' end, to which the tRNAs corresponding amino acid is attached (by aminoacyl-tRNA synthetases). tRNAs cope with the degeneracy of the genetic code in two manners: having more than one tRNA (with a specific anti-codon) for a particular amino acid; and 'wobble' base-pairing, i.e. permitting non-standard base-pairing at the 3rd anti-codon position. The record is from Rfam by way of RNAcentral. Lineage: Eukaryota; Metazoa; Chordata; Mammalia; Rodentia; Muridae.